Non-coding RNA from Xyrichtys novacula (pearly razorfish), 2764 nucleotides. NCBI's taxonomy places the organism in Eukaryota, Metazoa, Chordata, Actinopteri, Labriformes, Labridae. The record is from the annotation of a GenBank genome assembly.
UGAGGUCGACACCAAUAAAAGCAUUAAAGGCAGAAGUAGGAGAAGCACCACUCGAUCUGAGGAGAGCUAAACUUAUGCUUACAUAUUGGAGCCGUCUACAUGGGUGUGGUAAUGAAAACCCUUCCAAGAGUGUUAUUCAAGAAUGUUGGGAAUACAAUAAAUUUCAAGGUAAUGGAUUUGGUUGGAUGACAAAGACUAAGUCACACGAAUAUAGGCUGGAAAACAUUCGGUUCAGCACUCCUACGCCUAUUAGUAAUGUCGCUCCCUGGUUCUUCCCGAGACCUGGAAUAGAAGUAUUUUAGAGUUAAAGAAAGAAUGGCAAGAGAGUGAGAUUGGAAUUCUAGCAAGUCAAUAUGUAAGGCACAAAUAUGAUUAUUAUUUAGAUAUAUACACAGAUGGGUCUAAGGAUGAAAAUGAGAGAGUGGGCAUAGGAAUACAUAUACCCUCAAUGAAUAUCAAUAAUAUAGAUGGGACAGGGAUAACAACGGAAGGAAAUAUUGCAGGGUACAGAAGUCCAUUACAGCACAAGGAGUAUAUAGAGGCAACAGAAGGGAAGAAACUGUAUUAACAAGAUUAAGGUUUUAUUAUUAUUAUUAUUAUUAUUAUUAUUAUUAUUAUUAUUAUUAUUAUUAUUAUUAUUAUUAAUUAAUUUAUUUAUUUAUUUUUUCUUUUUUUAUUACCUCAAUGACAUAAAGGAACUAGUAACCCAUGCUACAUACUCCGGUACAGUAGGUGGCGGUAUGCACCAAAUAAGCUAUGGUUGCAACCCGCCAGAAAACCAAAAGAAGAAGAAGAAGAAGAAGAAGAGGAGGACGAAGAAGAAGAACGCCCAUUUUGCUCACACAGUCUGGGAACCGACGUGACUUAAAAUAUUAACACAAGGGGACUGAAAGCUGCAAUGGAAGGGUAAUUGUCUAUUUUAAAGAGUGUAUUUUUUACAGCUGUGCGUAUGAAAAAGACGGUAGCAGUUGUCCUCAUUGUAAAUACACCAUAUCCCAAGUGUAAGCUAAAAUGCGAUCCUUUAUACUGUAUAAGACAAAGAGCAUGACGGUUGACAGCUAACAGCAGGAAGUCCUAGACUUAAGCUAAAAAGUGUUUGUUAAGUGUUGUUUAAAUAACAUGGUAUAGUAGGUUUAUGAUGGACCGUGACUCAAAAGCAAAUUUUAUUUAUUAUCGAGUUUUUGUAUUAUUGCCAGGUCAGCCCGUUAUGGGCAAAAUUAGCAUAUAUUAAUAUUGAUCCACUCUAUCCACCUUUAUGUAGUAGCAGAUUACUGAAGCUCAAUUGUAUAACAUGUUGGUUUUAUUUCCGAUUAUGUUUAGUGCAAAGAAGGCAAUCGUAUCAAAAUCAAUGUCAACAUGGCACAUGCACCUGCAUUUUACGAAGACUCUCUUUGUCUGUCGCAAAGGCGGUUUUAGGAUCAGACUACCUGGGGUGCCCAGCCCUGUAAGACCACAUGAUCUGCAAUUGUUCAGUCUGACUGCUUUAACCACUGAUUUUACCAACCACAAAAGAAUAUUCUCUGGCAUGUGGUUUUUAACAACAGCAAUACUUAAGAUCAGAGUAUGAGGCCACAUUUAAGUUUUUGUUUGUUUGUAUUUUGAAGAUUUUGGAAAACAAAGGUUAUGUUUUGAGGAUAAAGUUGGAAGAAAAUCAAGUUGUGAUGUUACAAGAAGAAAGUCAUCUUGUGUUGAGAACAAAGUUAUUGUAAAUUCAUAAUAUAAUGAUAGUAGAGUUAUCUUUUUUGUGAGAAUAAGGUGGUGUCAGCUGUCUGUACCAGGAUAAGGAAUGUUGAGCGUCUGGUUAAAUUUCUAAUGUUUAUGCUCCUCAGCACCACAUAGUAAUAAGAAUCAGGACUCUGAAAAGACUAAGCAAAAAGCUGAGCCCUGUGGUAUCAACACAGUAUAAUGUGGCUAAUCAUCGACUAAAUUAACAAAUUUAUUUUUAUAAAAACAUGACUUUGGUACCGCAAUAUUUUGACUUUAUGUCUUUUUUUAAUUACAAUGUGACUUUAACCUUGUCAUAACUUUUUUUCCUCAUAAUAGUAUCAUUUAUUGCAACUUUAUUCUCAUAAUUUUUUAGUUCAUUAUGAUUUUGUUCGUAAAACAAUGUCAUUUUAUCCUUGUAACACUAACUAGAUUUUUCCAUGGCUUUAUUAAAGUAAAAAGUUAAGAAUUUUAUUUCACCAUGUAUCAGAGGAUACCAGGAGUAUGCAUUCAAAUGGGCAUAUUCUCUGGUGUACUUGUCUACAUUAACCUGUUUGGGUCAUACAGAUAAAAGUCCAGAUAAAAAGUAUUAUGAUUUCAAUCUAUAUUUUUUACUCAUUUUGUCUUGAGAACACCAGUUUGUAUAGUCAAAUAAGAUACUUAACCACAAGUUUAAGUGGUAGGUUAUGGAGAAUACUAAUGAUAUCAAAUAAAUCUCAAAUGUGAAAACAUUUUCAACAUUUGCUUUAUUGCAUAGACUGAACAGCAGCAGCAGAUCCACUGUUCGAUGUCAGGCAUACCUGAUUGCACUCAUCUAAGCCCCAAUCUUGAGGGAAAUCCCUCAUGUGGAGCCUUGUUCAGUAACGGGCUGCUCAGAAACGCCCUCUUCCUACCUUCGGCCACGUUUGUUUUUUAUUCUGCUCUGUUUGGGCUAUGGCUGCGAGUCCGUCGCUUGUUCUUAUGUCAUCAGCUUGCAUUUAUCAUAUUUAUCAUAAAAUGGCAAACAUUUAUUAUGGAGGAUUUUUCUGAGGAUAUAUCGUUAACGAUACCUUACCACCCA